RNAcentral lists this transfer RNA (69 nucleotides) under Prionailurus bengalensis (leopard cat). RNAcentral's name for it is "tRNA-Glu". Lineage: Eukaryota; Metazoa; Chordata; Mammalia; Carnivora; Felidae. The record is from RNAcentral.
GUUCUUAUAGUGAAAAUACAACGAUGGUUUUUCAUAUCAUUGGUCCGGGUUUAAUUCCAUGUGAGAUUA